GAUGAACGCUGACAGAAUGCUUAACACAUGCAAGUCAACUUGAACUUCGGUUUGGGUGGCGGACGGGUGAGUAACGCGUAAAGAACUUGCCUCACAGAUAGGGACAACAUUUGGAAACGAAUGCUAAUACCUGAUAUUAUGAUUAUAUGGCAUCGUAUAAUUAUGAAAGCUAUAUGCGCUGUGAGAGAGCUUUGCGUCCCAUUAGCUAGUUGGAGAGGUAACGGCUCACCAAGGCGAUGAUGGGUAGCCGGCCUGAGAGGGUGAUCGGCCACAAGGGGACUGAGACACGGCCCUUACUCCUACGGGAGGCAGCAGUGGGGAAUAUGGGACAAUGGACCAAGAGCCUGAUCCAGCAAUUCUGUGUGCACGAUGAAGUUUUUCGGAAUGUAAAGUGCUUUCAGUUGGGAAGAAAAAAAUGACGGUACCAACAGAAGAAGUGACGGCUAAAUACGUG
Molecule: ribosomal RNA, 454 nt
Filed under: uncultured bacterium
Lineage: Bacteria
Description: partial 16S ribosomal RNA
Rfam family: Bacterial small subunit ribosomal RNA
Source: RNAcentral